RNAcentral lists this ribosomal RNA (431 nucleotides) under uncultured bacterium. Its description in RNAcentral is "partial 16S ribosomal RNA". It matches the Rfam family "Bacterial small subunit ribosomal RNA", at positions 338 to 795 of the family's 1533-position model. The record is from RNAcentral.
CCUACGGGAGGCUGCAGUGGGGAAUCUUGCGCAAUGCACGAAAGUGUGACGCAGCAACGCCGCGUGCGGGAAGACGGCCUUCGGGUUGUAAACCGCUUUCAGGAGGGACGCGGUACCUCCAGAAGAAGCCCCGGCUAACUACGUGCCAGCAGCCGCGGUAAUACGUAGGGGGCAAGCGUUGUCCGGAAUUAUUGGGCGUAAAGCGCGUGUAGGCGGCUCGGUAAGUCCGCUCUGAAAGCCCGAGGCUCAACCUCGGGAGGCGGGUGGAUACUGUCGAGCUCGAGUCCGGAAGAGGAGUGUGGAAUUCCUGGUGUAGCGGUGAAAUGCGCAGAUAUCAGGAGGAACACCAAUGGCGAAGGCAGCACUCUGGGAGUACUGACGCUGAGACGCGAAAGCGUGGGGAGCAAACAGGAUUAGAUACCCUUGUAGUC